RNA transcript from Entelurus aequoreus (snake pipefish), 1409 nucleotides. It is a transcript of the gene named retinal outer segment membrane protein 1b, with no coding region annotated. The record is from RefSeq and is a predicted model, not a curated record. The transcript is spliced from 6 exons. Lineage: Eukaryota; Metazoa; Chordata; Actinopteri; Syngnathiformes; Syngnathidae.
AGGAACCCAGGAGCCAAGGAGCCAAGGAGCCCAGGAGCCAUGGUCCUGCUGAAGAUGAAGUUCACCCAGCAGAGGAGGGUGCGUCUGGCCCAGGGCUUGUGGCUCUUGUCCUGGAUGGCCGUGCUGAGUGGCUCCUUCAUCUUCUCUCUGGGGGUCUACCUGAAGAUAGAGCUGCUACGUAGGGCCGAGGUGAUGGACAACACCGAGAUCCACGUGGUGCCCAACAUGCUCCUGCUGGUGGGUCUGGCCGCCAUCGGCACCAACUGGGUGGCGGGCCGAGUGUGCCAGGACUCCUUGGACCCGGGUCGCUUCCCCCGCUGGAAGGUGGUCCUGCUGGGCUGGUAUGCUGCGGCCGCCCUCCUCUGCUGUCUGCUGCUGGCCGUGGUGGUCCUCAGCUACGCCCUGCAGGGCCGCCUGGAGGACUCCCUCAAGGUCGGCUUGAGGAACGGCAUCCGCUUCUACAAGGACACCGACGUUCCAGGGCGCUGCUUCCAGAAGGAGACCAUCGAUCGUCUGCAGAUGGAGUUCCGCUGCUGCGGAAACACCAACUUCAGGGAUUGGUUCGAGGUGCAGUGGGUCAGCAACAGAUACCUGGACUACACCUCCAAGGAUAUCAAGGAUCGCAUCCGCAGCAACAUAGACGGCCGCUUCCUGCUGGAUGGCGUGCCCUUCAGCUGCUGCAACCCGGUGUCCCCUCGGCCCUGCCUGCAGUCCCAGCUGACCGACAACGCCGCCCACUACAACUACGACUUCCAGAGCGAGGAGCUCAACCUUUACGCCCGCGGCUGCAGGGAGGCCCUGAUCAACUACUACAUGGAGCUGAUGAACUCCACUGGCCCCGGGGUGCUGUCUGUCAUCUUGAUACAGCUGUCCAUCCUGUUCAGCCUGCGCUACCUGCAGACCUCGGUGGAAGGCGCCAUGGCUCAGGACGAUCCGGAGGGUGACAGCCAGGGUUUCCUUCUGGAGAAGGGAGUGAAGGAGACCUUGGAGGAGGCCCAAGUCAAACUCCUGCUCUUGAUGAAGUUUGGGCAGGUGGACCCCGGUGCAGCCGAGGGUUCCGCUGACACCGCAGACAAGGACGCCGCCCCGCCUUCUUCCAGCUAGGUGACUGUGGAAUGUGAGAAGGAUGCUGAAAGUUGGUUUUGACACCACACAGGGUGAUUCAAAAAGACCCUUAGGUCUUCUGACAAGAUGUUCCAUAGACCAGUCUACCACCUGACAAGAUGUUCCAUAGACCAGUCUACCACCUGUCAAGAUGUUCCAUAGACCAGUCUACCACCUGACAAGAUGUUCCAUAGACCAGUCUACCACCUGACAAGAUGUUCCAUAGACCACUCUACCACCUGACAAGAUGUUCCAUAGACCAGUCUACCACCUGACAAGAUGUUCCAUAGACCAGUCUACCACCU